Zea mays is the source of this 9141-nucleotide RNA transcript. It is a transcript of the gene named F-box/LRR-repeat protein, with no coding region annotated. NCBI's taxonomy places the organism in Eukaryota, Viridiplantae, Streptophyta, Magnoliopsida, Poales, Poaceae. The transcript is spliced from 5 exons. The record is from RefSeq and is marked provisional.
AACUCCGAACCAUGAAAGUGCAAGCCCAAUCCGCUCCUCCCACGGCCCACGUCUCGUCAGUUUUUUCCUUUUUCCCGUGGCCCGUGGGUGUGCGUCCUAGGUGUGCGGCGGGCGGUGCGCCGUGCGCCUCCUCUCCUCGCCGCGACGCUGCCGUGUUCGCGAUUCAGCGCCGUGCUCGACGCCCCUCCUCUCCUCAGAAGUCAGCGCCGCAUCUCCGGUUGCAGAGACUUGCGCUGCCACAUCUCCGCUUUUCGUCCUUCAGUUGCUCGACGCCCCUCCUCCCCUCAGAAGUCAGCGCAGCGUCUCCACUCUCCACGCCGGCGCGUCGGCGACGCGGGUCCUUCGAAUAAGACGGUUUGUUCUCGCAUCGGGCGUCAGCCGGAUUCGAGGGACAUAGAUGAUGGAAGUCGAUCUUGGGUGCCACCACGUCGAAGCGGCUUGUGCUGUGUAGAUCCGGCGAAAGCGCGCAGGCAAAGCCCGGGUCUGCGUCGUCAUUGGCCUCAUGAUCUUCGUAUUGCCAUCGCGCUAAAGGGAACGAAGGCGACGAGGUCUUAAACUUUGAUUGAUAUAUGCGGAUAUGAAAAUGCAUGCAACUACAUGCUAGAAGUCUGUCUUGGUUGUGUUGGAGAAAAAUUCUUUGUUACGUUUUUGUUGAUAGCGUUGAGUGCCAAAAAUGGAGCUUCUCCCUGUUGAAGUCGUUGGCAACAUUCUUUCCCAUCUUGGUGUUGCGCGUGAUGUUAUGAUUGCCUCUGCGGUAUGCCGCAAGUGGCGAGAUGCAUGCAGGAGGCAUCUCCGUUUGCUGUCCUUCAACUCCAAUGACUUUCCACGGGACAUGACUACACGUCAGUUGGAGAUUGUCAUCACACAGACUAUAUUUCAGACUAUGGGGCUGCAACGCCUUUCGAUUCACAUUGAUAACACCCAUGAGUUCUCUGCAGCACCAGUGAUUGCAUGGCUCAUGUAUACCAGGGAGACCCUCCGAAGCCUGUCUUACAAUGUCAGGACAAUACCCAAUGUAAGCAUUCUUGAAAAGUGUGGUAGGCAAAAGCUCGAAGUGCUAGAUUUGGAAUUGGACCAUAACACCAUCACAGGUGUCGAACCAAGCUAUCAGAGGUUCACUUGUCUGAAAUCCCUUUCCCUGAGGCAUGUCAGCAUUUUGGCCUUGGAUUUGAGCCUUUUAGUUGCUGCUUGCCCAAGAAUAGAGUCAUUAGCACUUGAUGUCCUUGAGGUUGUCACUUCAGAAUUACAGUCUACGAUGGAGCUCACAAGCCAUACAUUGAAAAGUCUAUUUGCAAAAUCGGUAGGUGUAGAUAAGAUCAUACUUGAUGCAGAUAAUUUGGAAGUUCUGCACCUGAAUGCUUUAAAUCUCGAUCUGUUUGAGCUUAACGGGAAAGGAACACUAAAACAUUUUAAGAUUGAUGAUGUCAGUGUUACUCAUUUGGAUAUUGGGGACAAUACUGAUCAUUUGGAGGCAGUAGACGUGAGCAACUUCACAAUAGUCUGGCCAAAAUUCUAUAGCAUGAUAUCCAGGGCAUCUAAUUUGCGUAUGCUACGAUUUUGGGGUGUUGUGUUUGAUGACGAGGAUGAGAUCGUGGAUUCAGAAACUAUAGCUGUUUCAUUUCCUCUUCUUAGGCAUCUUUCAUUGAGUUAUGAAUUACGAGAUGGGUUACUUCACUACAGCCUUCAGGGAUCAUCAUUACUGGAGAAUGUCUCAGUUCUGGAACUUGGUUGGACAGUAAUAAGUGAGCACUUUGGACCCUGGGUGUUUGGUAUGAUUGGAAGGUGUCCAAAUCUCAAGAAACUUGUUAUUCAUGGUGUUCUUUCUGAGACAAAAACGCGAGAGGAUCGCCAGAUGUUAGCAAGCUUUACCUCAUUCAUAGUCUGUGUCAUGAGGAAGUAUGUGCAUGUUGAUGUACAAUUUGAGUAUGAGUGACAGCUACUAGGUUGGGUGGGCAUCUUGUCAUUGUUCAGAUGAAGCUGUGCCAUCAGGUUUGUGCCAUGGUGGGGACAUAAAUGUUCGCUACCUUGUAGGAAUGCAGAGGGGGUGUCACAACCAUAUACGAGCUUGGACAAGGUUUCCUUGAGUGUUGUAUGGAAGGACGUGUUGUUGAUGUACUUGACCUAUGGCAACCAACAUACUUAUUGCCAAGGCCGAUCACCUGUCAUACAUUGGAGGUACACCGUGAUCUUGUUGAUCAUUUCUGUCUAGCUGCACAGUAGGGUUGGAAAGUUGGUCUCAUGCAUAGCUUAGAGCCCGACUCCUAGAAUCGGGCUUGCCAAAAUAUAGAAGCGAACAUGAUCGGGGACGACGGAGGUCAGAAUGUCGUGAAGGCGGAAGAUCUCGACGAAGAAUAUCCGCUAUCGAUUCAACAGAGUAGGGGUGGCUCAUGGAUAAAGUGGGCAUACUGCGAUUAACCAUCAUCAAAAUCAUCGAUUUCACCCAUCUUCGACAGCCCUUCAAUGAAGUCGAGGGCUCAAGGCUGGUAUUGCUCUAGAUGGUGGUGAGCACUGACAUGGAAUGGAGCAGGCUAGCUAGGGCUAAGGUCUCUGUCUUCUUGUGCUGACAAACACCAUAGUUCCUGACAUAGUCACCCUCGACGAUGCAAUGCUCCUGUGGAACAUGGAAAUUGUGGUGGAAGUUGUCUAGUCUUAUGUACCCAGUGGUGGACAUGGGCCUAAGGCCCUAGUCGUUGGCCCAAUAUCACCUUAUACCCAUAGUGUUAGGGCCAUAAACAUGAGCCUAGCAAAAAAACAAGUAGGACCUAGCGCAUGCUUCGGCUUUUGUUUCUAGUUCCCUCGCGGUUGUCGUCCGUGCCUGUGGACGGAAGACUGAAGACCUAGGGGCAUAGAAUCACUGAGUCGCGCCUCCGCUAGUUUGUCAUCUAUCGUCACGCCAUUCCGCUACCGCGUCGACAGGUAGCCGCCAAAGUCACCACGCUUGCCUCCGCCCCGGCUAGCCACCCACAACCCAGUGGUGGAGGACACGCCAAAAUCAAGAUGUCGCUAAUGCAACAAUGUCAUAACAGUCAAGCAUCAAGUUGUACCACAACACAUUCAGUUUCACGCCAUUGCGAGGCAUAUCGUUGAGCAGCCGGCAUGCGUCGUCCACAAGCCCCGACUUGCAUAACCCAUUGACGACGACGGACACGACGAGUGGCAAGACGGAGUCUAGGCAUGAGCCGAGCGCCCGCGUUAGGAGGCCCACGACGUCCACGAGGCGCUCGAUGUGGCGGAGCGAGGACGUGAGUGAGCACAGGUCGAGGUCGACGAGGCAGGACACGAUGGCAUCGAGCGCCUCGGACGCGCGACAUGCUGCCUUCGCGUUCGCGUCCGCUCGGAUGAGCAUGUUGUGGAACGCCGCCACGGCGUGCGGCGACGCGCCAUGCGGGAUCGAGGAGGCGGUGAGGUCCAUGAACCACUGGGAGGCAGGCGUGAGCAGGACAGGAGCACGAACCUAUUGGCAGCAAAGCGCCGUGCAGUAAGGAGCUACACGAAGGUGGGAACAUGGACAGAGGUGGUCUUGGACGCUGGGCGCUUGGGAGGGAUAAUAAUUUUGUUUUUCUUUUAUUAAUAUCUUAUUGGGCUGGGUAAAGGUAUUGCCCAAGCAAUACUGGGCCAUAUUAGGUCCUCUGCCCUUGCCACAACCCAUGGGAAGACCGAAGGGGUCAGAGUUGCCGAGUCGGCGCCACCACCACUGCCCACCACGACGACCUGGAGGUCCUCGCGCAGUCGCGCUGGCCUCCAGAACUGACCACGCGCCCACCGCCCACCACGUUACGCUCGUGCCCAGGCCGCUAGGCGGCUGCUGCAUCAUGCAUUCACACAUGUGUGGUUGCGGCAUGCCGACACCGCCCACUGGUGACUAACCACCUGACCCUACCAACCCAUUGCCCACCGGCUGGCCUCCCUCCCUCAGUCAUGGUAGGACGAAAAGUUCUAAUUUCUCUUUCUCUUAUUAAUUUUUAUUCAAAUUCAAUAGAUUGAUACUGAAACUGAAAUAAAAAAAUCAAAUAUGGAUGAUGGUUAUACAUCUCUUAUAUUAAAAGCUACGGGGAUUCUUGGUCCCUCGGAGCAGCCACGUCGCUCAGAAAAUGUUAGUCGUUCGAUCUCAACACCCGAUCUCUCUCAACGUCCGAUGUUUGAAUCAACGCGAUGGUGCACAAGCCCAACGCUCGCUUCGCUCUUUCGUCCUCGCGAGGCUGCUGCCCACCACCAGCGUCUUCUCUCUCCCGUCCUCGUGAGGCCACCGCCCACCAACGCUACCGCUGCGUCCUACAUCGUCUCGCCCUCGCCCACCUCGUCGUCCGGAGCUUCGCUCUCCCAUCCUCGCGAGGCUGUCGCCCACCACCGCCGCCUUCUCUCUCUUGUCCUCGCGAGGCCGCUGCUCAAUAAAGUUGUCGCCGCAUCCUGCAUCCCCCUCGCCCUCGCCCACCACCGCCGCCUUCUCUCUUCUGUCCUCGCGUGGCCGCUGCUCAAUAAAGCUGUCGCCGCAUCCUGCAUCCCCCUCGCCACCUUGUCGUCCGGAGGACCUAGCAUCCAGAUCCGUCGCCCGAGCUGCUAUACCCGCCGGUUGUCACCAUCUAUUUAUUCAUUGUUAGAAACUUGGGUUUAGUGCUCAGGAGAUUUCCACAUGUAAGAUUUUCAUCUACUUGAGAAGAUAUGGCAGAGACAUACCUUUGUUAUUUUGAACUGAAACAUUGUCGAACACUGUUAGGUGUCCAUCGAUGUUGUUGGUGUUAGGUGUCCAUCGAUGUUGUUGGCCUGGUAGAUGAGUGGGUUGCUCGUUGUUUUGAAGAACUUGAUUAUGUAAAUGUAAAUUAUGGGGAAAUGACACUUUGCUGACGUGAUGAAAGAUCUUCCAUAGGUAAUUACUCUGGUAGCCAUAAAUUUUCCCUGUGGAAGUGGGAAGUUGUGUAACAAGAUGGUUUAUAACAUCUAUACUCUAUAUUGUUACUGAAUACAACAUGUAGAAAUUUAUUGGAAAAUUCACUUUUGUUAAUUUAAUAGAAAAUCCCCCAGGUUGUUGUACCAAAGACUUACCAUAGAUACACAUCUAGAAAAGUUCUUACCACACAAGAGAGAGAGAGAGAGAGCACAUAGGACGAUGUUGGACCAUUGGUCAGUGUAGGAGUCAUUUGCUAUCUGAAAUAGGUUAGUUUGGAAAUCAUUUCUUUACAUCUUAUAAAUACUAUCCACAUCUUACAUGAUCGAACAUAUGCAUGCACUCACUUGCUGAAGGUAAGGAAUAAUGCUCUUCAGUCUUCACCAUCUUUUCCAUAGUAUUCCUGUCUUACAUGAUUGAAAAUAUGUGUGCACUCAUGUCACCUUUUUUAGAGAAAGUAUCUUCAUGCUAUAUUUAUUGUUAUUUGCAGUUGCUUGAUACUGGGUUCUUCCACAUUGAUCCACAUCUAGGCAAUAUGAUCAGAACACCUGACGGAGAUUAUGUUGCAGAACUGUAUCAACUCCCUCUAAUUUUAUGUUAUAUUAUAUUUGGUAGGAAUUUCUACUGGGUCUGAAACUUGUAACAUACAGUUUUCUGAAGAUCUACGAAAGAUAGUGGAUACUUAUCAGAUGAGUGCUUGCACUGCCUUUCAAGUCAUCCGACUAAUCGCGAUUAGUCGGGCUGGUCGGUUUAGGGUGGCCGAUUAGGGAAGCCGACCCGAUCAGAACACCUGGUCGCCCUGGUGUUGAUGAAUUUCAGUUGGAUGAAGAUCUUUAGGUCACUGGUAGUGUGGUAGUAAGUGUUUCUUUGCUGUUUUGAACACCUGCAUUACUUUAGGGUCAUUGGGAGCUACUGUUUUAAGUUGGAUGAACAAAUGUCUUUUCUUAAAUGAGUAUUGCAGAAUCAAUGUUUUCAAGUCGGACGACUUGCUGGUCGUUCUGGCUGACCGACUAGGGCGAUUAGUCGGACGACUUGGGUGAUUAAUCGUGAUUGGUCCAAACCGACUUGGACGAUUAAUCGCGACUAAUCACGAUUAAUCGGACGACUUGAAAACAUUGCAUAAUUCAUGUCAUGUUUACCCUUUAUAUAUAGUUAUCUACUAUGUUAUAUACUCUAUACAAAUAUGGUCUUAUAUACCAUAUAUACUCUAUACAUAUGUCCUAGAUGAACAAGACGACUAGUAGACGACCAGGGUCGACCAGAGGUCGAUUAGUUGACCUAGUCGUCGACUAAUCAAGAUUAGUCGCCUAGUCGGACCCCUAGGUCGAUCAGUUGGUCGCUCGACUAGAAAACAUAGUGCAUUGCAAAAGUUACUAAUGCUUCCAUCCUUUUGGAAGCUUUGAUGUUGUCAUUUUUUAUUGAAAGUGGUGAAGUUGGAAGAAUAAAUAUUGUUGAGGGUGUUGGGGUAUGUUACUUUUAUUUUAUGUAUGUUGUCAGUUAGCUGAUCGAAGGGCGGGCCUGGUGCAGCGGUAGAGCCUACCGUCUGUAACCGGAAGGUCCCAGGUUCGAGCCCUAAUGCAUAUUAUAUGGAUAAGGCUUGGUGCUUAAAGAUACCCUUGCACAGACCUCGCACAGUGCGGGAAGCCUGCGGCAUUGAGUACACCUUUUUUUUGUCAGUUACCUGAUCAUUUGUUUCACCCUCCCCACCCAAGUACACAAUGUUGUAUUCAUGUGAGUGGACAGGUUCUAAUUUUAAGAGCAAUUUCUCGAUGGCCAUUAUUCAGAUUGGUCCACUCAGAUGCUGGCCAGGUGGAUUGUGGGCCUGUUUGGUUCGCUACCUAACUUGCCACACUUUGCCUAACUUUUCUGCCUAAGGUUAGUUCUUCAAUUCGAACAACUAACCUUAGGCAAAGUGUGGCGCAGUUAGCCACGAACCAAACAGGCCCUGUGUCUAUCAAGGUCAAUAGGUGAUAUUGACGUCGAGGAAUUUAUAGUUCCUGUCCCAUAUGUGAAGCAAGUAAAUGUGCAUAACAUAUAUGAACUAUUUAUAUAGGUGCAGUGGUGGAAAAGGUUUUUCAUGCUAAAAGAUUCCCCUUGUUAUACAAAUCUGCCAUUUUUUUGCUUGUAGCAUCUGCCCGUUUUUUCCCUGACAAACGUGUCAUCAAUUAAUUUGUAAAAAAAAUGAUAGAUUAAGCGGCGAUCGGCAUGCUCUGCCGUAGCACCGACUCGACACACGAGACAGCGUGUGAGCAGAAGACCGAGGUGAGAUUUCGUACACACUCAUCCCAAACGGUCUGAAUCAGAAGGGGAAUCGCUGGCGCGUAGGCUAUGAAUACUGUGAGACAAAAGAGAUUUGAUAUUUUAUUGCUAGCUGCAGAUCAGAGAACCUGAAGUAUAUUGAUUUCAUAGGUGGUUCUUGCUGGAUCAUGUAAAGCUCCAUCUCUUAUAAUAGCUUGAACUUAUACAUAUUUGGUACUUGUUUUAAAUUUAUAAUGCACAAAUUAUUGAUAUUCGUAUAGAUGAGAUGAUAUGAUAUGAUCCAUGAUGUUCUUCUGCUACUUCAGAGCUCUCUUUGUUCUCUGUGACUGACAGCAAGAGAUGAACCAACGUGUUUUGUUGCAUUGGGAGCAGAGGCUGGAGAUAAUCGUAGGAGUUGCCAAAGGUGUUGCUUAUCUGCAAGGACUAAGAAAGGAAGUGAUACACAGUGAUCUAAAACCAUCCGACAUACUCUUGGAUGAAAACUAGAGAGCUAAAAUUGCAGAUUUUGGCACCACAAAAGUGUUCGUGGAUGGCCAGACGAAUCCAACACUUGUACAAUAGAGGGACACAGGGCUCUAGAGUACACUGUUUGAGAUCCAGUGUUUCAAAGUCCAGCCAAAAAUGUUGAAAUUCAGGUUCAGUUCAGAACUAAGUUUCAGUUCUGUCUAAGCCAUGAUAGUGUUCAAUUUAGUUAUUAAAUAAUUGUUGUUCUUUGGUUACAAACAAUUGUACUUUUUAAUUGUUGAAACAUUAUACUUUUGGUUAAUUCCAAAGUAUUAAAUAAUUGUAGUUGUUUGAUGAAUUUGGACAAUGAUGAUGAUGAUUUAGAAUCUGAUCCAGAGUUUGAUGAAUGAUGAUGAAGAGAUGGUAUACAAUACAAUCAGGGUAGGGGCAAAAGUUUAGAUUGUUCGAAAGCAAAAAAAAAUAAAAAAAUAAAAAGAAGACUGGACCAAUACUAGAGGAGCUAUGGGACAUUUUAUCACUCCAGGUUUUGUAAGUACCUCAGAAUCUAUGGAAAAAUUGAGACUGUCUAAUUACAAGAAUUGAAUAUUUGAAUUCCAGUUUGAUUGAUAGUUGAAGUAUUGACGAAUCUGCAAUUGAAAUCAUUAGCCUUUAAUUGAUUUGGGAUUUUAAGUAUACUGUAUAGAUGCUACAUUCUUUGUGUCACAUAUAUGUUUGCUUUUUUUAUCAAUAUAUUAUGACAAAAAAAUGCUAGAGUCCAGAUAAGGCAUGCAACGUGCGCCCAAUUUUCUAGUAUUCUUCACAAUGAAGAGGACCAAGAUAACAUGGAAGAUGCGGAUGCAUGGACUCACUAGUCAUUAGUUAUUUAUUUUCGUGUUUACCGUGCAAUGUUCUUAACGUUUCAGUUUGAUCAUUUAUCUUUAUUUUAGUUAAUUCUCGGUGCAAUGUUAAUGGGAUAGUUUUUGCCAAUAGUUGCAAACAUAAUGGGUAGUUUUCACUGCUAAGUACCCUAGUCAUGAGCAAAGCCUGGGUCUGCUACUGUUUGUAACCCUUCAUGGGCGUCGUUGUGCGCUGCAGCUAAGAUCACCGGAGCAGCUAAUGGCUUGUUCGCUGCGGCUUUAAUCCGACUGCGGCUGCGGCUUCUACAGUAUUUUCUCUCUAGGGAUUGCAGCUGCAACAGUAUUUUGCAGCUGCAACAGUGGUUUUUGUAGUGCAGCCGAACGCGCUCUAAGAUCACCGGAAGGAGAGUGUAGUCGCUGGGCAUGAACAUGUGCUGGCCAAACAUAACGAGUUCCGAGGUCCGACCCUAAUGGCGUUGUGCAAGGCCCACAAAAAUGCUGGGUCUGCUUUAGUUGCUGCUUGUAUGCUGUGAGCCUGUGACUAAGGAAGUUGAACGAUGGUGUUGAGACGGCAAAGCAGGUAGCAGCAGUGCCACAUUGGCUCAUUGUGCCUAGAUAGUGUGUCUGCCAACAUGUUCAAGCAUCCUGGCUUAUGUUCAAUAACAGAGCCAAAGCCCAGGAUCUUACAUUGACUCUAUC